RNAcentral lists this ribosomal RNA (439 nucleotides) under uncultured bacterium. Its description in RNAcentral is "partial 16S ribosomal RNA". It matches the Rfam family "Bacterial small subunit ribosomal RNA", at positions 339 to 795 of the family's 1533-position model. The record is from RNAcentral.
CUACGGGGGGCUCCAGUGGGGAAUAUUGCACAAUGGGGGAAACCCUGAUGCAGCAACGCCGCGUGGAGGAUGACACAUUUCGGUGCGUAAACUCCUUUUAUAGGUCAAGAUAAUGACGGUAGCCUAUGAAUAAUCGCCGGCUAACUCCGUGCCAGCAGCCGCGGUAAUACGGAGGGCGCAAGCGUUACUCGGAAUCACUGGGCGUAAAGAGCAUGUAGGCGGAUUGUUAAGUUGGAAGUGAAAUCCUAUGGCUUAACCAUAGAACUGCUUCCAAAACUGAUAAUCUAGAGUAUGGGAGAGGUAGAUGGAAUUUCUGGUGUAGGGGUAAAAUCCGUAGAGAUCAGAAGGAAUACCGAUUGCGAAGGCGAUCUACUGGAACAUUACUGACGCUCAGAUGCGAAAGCGUGGGGAGCAAACAGGAUUAGAUACCCCAGUAGUC